UAAGACUGCAAAUGGGAAUUCAGAGAAGC
Molecule: non-coding RNA, 29 nt
Filed under: Homo sapiens (human)
Lineage: Eukaryota; Metazoa; Chordata; Mammalia; Primates; Hominidae
Source: RNAcentral